This is a long non-coding RNA of Lates calcarifer (barramundi perch), 1264 nucleotides long. RefSeq lists it as uncharacterized. NCBI's taxonomy places the organism in Eukaryota, Metazoa, Chordata, Actinopteri, Centropomidae. The transcript has 2 exons. The record is from RefSeq and is a predicted model, not a curated record.
UUUAUAGUUUGUUUUUUUGAUCAGAAUUUAUAAAGUAUACUCUACUGCCCUAUGCAUAAAGGCAAUGAACUAAAACAAUGUGUAAAGAAUCACUUUAGCUCUCUUUUUGAGUUACAAAUACUGUACAAUAUCUGUAACUAGAACACAUACAUGUAUAACCAGAAAAUAAUUUGUUGGCCUCUUGCUUUGUUUCUCCUUCACAUUGUCUUAUUUUAGGUUCAUGUUGAACAUACCGCUCUGUACAAUUCUCAGGCUUUUCCCCAGAGAUCUUUUUUGUUAUGUCUUUGAUGUCACUUGCUAAAGCAGUGCCUGUGUUUUAUGUCACUGAUUUUUUUCCUUUGUACACUUGGUUGGUAGUAGGACUUCUAGAAAUGUGUUGUCAUUAAAAUAAUGGCUGCUUAUACAGCACAAACAGAGCUUCACUGCACUUGCAUACCUUGGUACUUACUCAUCUAGUGAGUAUUAUUAUGUGGUUGGUAUGGUUGGAUUCUGGGCUAGGCCUCUGUGUCACUGUGGUGUUUUAUGGCUUGCCUUCCCUUAGCUCAUCCUGCAGUACAUAAGUAAGAGGGACAAAGAGAGCAGUGAAAUCAAGAUGCUUUAGACUGAGAUGGAGUGAUGCAUUCAUGCUGUGGUCAUGGUGCCCUGACUCCUUGUUGCUGGCCCCUUGGCACUGAGACUGGCUGGAGCGCACUGAGACUUCUUCUCAGCAACAGACUUACAAAUUUGGGCUGGCUAUCAUGGAGUCCCCAGCCAGUAGCCAACCAUAAGCAUGGAUGUGCUUAGUGUCAUUCCUCCCAGCUGUGAAUUCCUGUAAUCUGACAAGGUACAGAAAUGCAGACCCAAACAUUCAGUAUGUAUGGGAAGGUCCUCUGUAUUGUGUAAUUUAGUGAGUUCAAUUCAGACCUGUCAGCAUCUUCAAAUUACCAUAACUAGUGUUUCAUACUGAAGUGACAAAUCACUGCUACAUGUCAAGCUUUGUCUCCCUCUUGUGGACAGUCUGAAUAAUAAAGGUAUUACAGUAUACUGUAAGACAGUAUACUAUAAUACAGAGUAUGCCCUUUAAGAAUAAAUACUGUUUUAUAGCACUAUAUGCAAAUUAUGACAAACACUAUUUUCCAUAUUUGAAUCUUUAUUUUUUUCUAAAUGCAAGAAAUAAUACAGUCAGAUAAUAUUUAUUAUAUUGGCAUUUGAAUCACAAAAUCAGAACCUUCAUUAUUUUAUGUAUUUGUAUUUGUAUUUAGAAAUGUAAAAAAAAUAAAAAGAA